Molecule: ribosomal RNA, 2702 nt
Filed under: Asterionellopsis glacialis
Lineage: Eukaryota; Bacillariophyta; Plagiogrammaphyceae; Rhaphoneidales; Asterionellopsidaceae
Description: partial Bacterial large subunit ribosomal RNA
Rfam family: Bacterial large subunit ribosomal RNA
Source: RNAcentral
AAAUGGACGUCUAUGUACGAAAUAUCGCAACGAGUUUAAAAUUUACUGAGAAUUGCGAUUUUCCAAACGGAAAACCUAAUUUUGAUAUAAAUCUGUUCUUAAUUUUAAAACAAAUUAAAACAAAAAUAAAUUUAGCAAAUUGAAACAUCUUAGUAGCUAAACCAAAAAUCAACCGAGAUACUGUUAGUAGUGGCGAACGAAUUCAGUAAAAAGCUUAUUCUUUUUAAACGUUAUUUAAUAAUAGCCAAAGAAGGAAACCUAUUUAAAGGUAGCCCUGUAAAAUAACAUUUAAAAAGUCUUGAUACAAAGUAAAAUGACACAAGUCGUGUGUUUUUUGAAUUAUAUGGGACCACCCAUAAAAGCUAAAACUUUUGAUAAUUGAUAGUGAAAACAGUACCGUGAGGGAAUGGUGAAAAAGUAUUUGCGAAUGUGAAAAAGUUUUGAAAUUUAAUGCUAAAUAUCAGUUGAGGCUUUUAAAUUUGAUUUUAAGAGUAACAGCAUACCUUUUGUAUAAGGGAUCAACAAGUUUAUUUUAGUAGCGAGCUUAAUUAAAAAAUAAAGUAGGCAAAAAGAAAUUGAGUUUUAAAAAUUGCUUUUUUAGUUUCUGAAAUAAAACCCGAAACUGUAGUGAUCUAACCAUGAACUGGUUGAAUUUUAAGCGGAAACGCUUUCUGGAGGACCGAACCCGUAUAUGUUGAAAAAUAUUGGGAUGAUUUGUGGUUAGGGGUGAAAGGCUAAUCAAACACAGAGAUAGCUGGUUUUCUGCGAAAUCUAUUUAAGUAGUUCGUUUAAAUUCUUUAUUUUAGGGUAGAGCUCUUUUUAAAUAAUGGGGAUGUAAAGUCUUACUGAAUUUAUUAAAACUUCGAAUUUUAAAAUAAAAGAUAUUUAAGCAGACAGACAUUGGGUGCUAAGGUCCAUUGUCAAAAGGGAAACAGCCCAGAUUAUUAAUUAAGGCCCUUAAAAACAAUUAAGUGAAAAAAUUAUUAAAAAAUUAUAACAACCGAUAGGUAGGCUUGGAAGCAGCCAUCCUUUAAAGAAAGCGUAACAGCUCAUUGGUUUAAUUUUUUUGUAAUAAAAAUGUACAGGGACUCAAAUUGUUUGCCGAAAUAAUAAAUUUAAAAUUCUAAAUGGUAGCAGAACGUCUUGUAAAUUAGAAAAAAAUUGUGAAUACAUAAUUUUUGAAAAAUCAAGAGUGAAAAUGUUGAUAUGAGUAACGUAAAACAAUGUAAAAAACAUUGUCAUCUUAAAUUUAAGGUUUUCAAAAAAAAGGUAAACUUUUUUGAUAAAAAUUAUUCGGUCUCUAAAAAAAAAACGAAAGUUUUAUUUUAAUGAGUAAAAAGUAUAUUUCUUUUAAUUUUUUAAAGUGACAAAAUGUAAAUACUAUUUUUAUUUAAUGGUAAAAAUAAAAGUUUUAUAGCAUUUUCAGGAAAUAGCUUUGAUUUCGUUUUUUUAAACUAAAACCGUACUUAAACCGACACAGGUAAAUAAAUUUAGUAAAUUAAGAUGUUGAGUUAACUGUUGUUGAAGGAACUCGGCAAAAUGACUCCGUAACUUCGGGAUAAGGAGUGGCUUUUUUUGGGCAACCUUUUUAAGCUCACAGAAAAUCGGGAACAGCGACUGUUUAAUAAAAACACAGGUUUCUGCUAAUUUGUAAAAAGAUGUAUAGAAACUGACGCCUGCCCAGUGCUAAAAAACUAACGAAAAAAGUUUUGGCUUUAAUCCUAACUUUUAGUAAACGGCGGCUGUAACUCUGACGGUCCAAAGGUAGCGAAAUUCCUUGGCAUUUAAUUGGUGUCCUGCAUGAAUGGCGUAACGACUGUUCCACUGUCUCCAACACAGGCUCAGUGAAAUUGAAAUAUCUGUGAAGAUGCAGAUUAUUGAAGGCAAGACGGAAAGACCCCGUGCACCUUAACUAUAAUUAUACAUUGUAAUAGAAAAUUUUAUACACAGGAUAUGUGGGAAGUUUACAAAUUCAAUUUAAAAUGUUUAUUUUGGUAAAUAAUUUAAACAAUCAUGAGAUACCACUUUUAAAAUAUUUUUAUUACUAAAUUUUUUAAAAACAUUGUAUAAUGGGUAGUUUGACUGGGGCGGUCACCUCCUAAAAAGUACCGGAGGUGUGCUAAAAGUAAGUUCAUAUUGAAAUAAAUCAAUAUUAUAGAGCAUAAUAGUAUAUACUUGCUUGACUGUAAAAUUGACAAAUUAAACAGGGACGAAAGUCGGUUAUAGUGAUCCGGUGGUUCUGUGUGGAAACGACCAUCGCUCAUCGAAUAAAAGGUACGCCGGGGAUAACAGGCUUAUCACUCCCAAGAGACCAUAUCGACGGAGUGGUUUGGCACCUCGAUGUUGGAUUAUCACAUCCUGGAGCUGAAGUUGGUUCCAAGGGUUUAGCUGUUCGCUAAAGAAAGUGGUACAUGAUCUGAGUUUAGAACGUUGUGAAACAGUUUGGUCCCUAUCUACCUAAAACACGAAAAUUGAAAGAAUUAAACCCUAGUACGAGAGGACCGGGAAAAAUGAAUCUCUGGUGAAUCAAUUGUUUAACCAUAAGCAUCGUUGAGUAGCUAUAUUCAUAAUAGAUAAGUGCUGAAAGCAUCUAAGCACGAAACUAAUCUUAAGACAAAUUUUUAAUAGUUGUAAAAGAUAAUUACAUAGAUAGAUUUGGUGUGUAAUAAUUGUAAAAUUUUUAGCUAACAAAUACUAAACGA